GGACGACUCUGCCUGCAGAGUCACCCAGGGGACACCGCAGCUGCCCAAAGCCCUGGGCAUCCAACCACCCAGCUGCUCCAGAGAGGAACAAGGGGCGUCCCAGCACGACGACAGGGCCAGCCAGGACUGGGAUGUAGUGAAGGCCGGGCAGAUGAUGACAGCCAGCCCCAGCCCUGGCCCUGGGCCCAGAGUGGCCCAGAAACCAGUAAUUCAUCACAGUCCCAUGGGCAUGCCCAGAUUAACAGCUGUGGAGAGAUAGGAGCGACAGCGAGCUACGUGCAGUUCCAGCUGCACCACAUCUAACCCCACUCCUUUCUCUGCCAAAGAGGGCACGUGAG
This 338-nucleotide long non-coding RNA is filed under the name Homo sapiens (human). RNAcentral describes it as "HSALNT0096215". Lineage: Eukaryota; Metazoa; Chordata; Mammalia; Primates; Hominidae. The record is from RNAcentral.